This 483-nucleotide ribosomal RNA is filed under the name uncultured bacterium. RNAcentral's name for it is "partial 16S ribosomal RNA". It matches the Rfam family "Bacterial small subunit ribosomal RNA", at positions 28 to 523 of the family's 1533-position model. The record is from RNAcentral.
GAUGAACGCUGGCGGCGUGCUUAACACAUGCAAGUCGAACGGUGAAGCAGAGCUUGCUCUGUGGAUCAGUGGCGAACGGGUGAGUAACACGUGAGCAACCUGCCCCGGACUCUGGGAUAAGCGCUGGAAACGGUGUCUAAUACCGGAUAUGAGCUGCGAUCGCAUGGUCAGCAGUUGGAAAGAUUUUUCGGUCUGGGAUGGGCUCACGGACUAUCAGCUUGUUGGUGAGGUAAUGGCUCACCAAGGCGUCGACGGGUAGCCGGCCUGAGAGGGUAACCGGCCACACUGGGACUGAGACACGGCCCAGACUCCUACGGGAGGCAGCAGUGGGGAAUAUUGCACAAUGGGCGGAAGCCUGAUGCAGCAACGCCGCGUGAGGGAUGACGGCCUUCGGGUUGUAAACCUCUUUUAGCAGGGAAGAAGCGAGAGUGACGGUACCUGCAGAAAAAGCGCCGGCUAACUACGUGCCAGCAGCCGCCGCUG